AGAUGGGGCGCAGUCCUCCCAGGUGGGGAAGAGCCCCAAAAAACAAAGCGGGGCUUACUGGAAGGAGGGAUGUCUGCAAUCCGAGCUCAUGCAGUUCCAUCUGAAGAAAGGCCUAGCCGCUGCAGGAGCCAACAAAGAGCCGGACAAUGGGCAGCCUGCCGAGAUGGAGGGGUGGAGGGCGGCCAGUGGAUUCCACGAGCUCCAGGAUGAGGUGGAGAAACUGAAGGAGGAGAAUGAGAGUCUGAAGAAUGAAAUCGACGAGAUGAGGACGGAGAUGGACGAGAUGAGGGAUACCUUCUUCGAAGAGGACGCUUGUCAGCUGCAGGAUAUGCGCCACGAGCUGGAGAGGGCCAAUAAGAACUGCAGGAUCCUGCAGUACCGCCUCCGGAAGGCAGAGCGCAAGAAGCUCCGCUAUGCCCAGACUGGGGAGAUCGACGGGGAGCUUUUACGGAGCUUGGAGCAGGACUUAAAGGUAGCCAAGGAUGUAUCGGUUAGACUUCACCAUGAGCUGGAAAACGUGGAAGAAAAGCGCACUAAAACAGAGGAAGAGAAUGAAAAGCUACGUCAGCAGCUCAUUGAAGUUGAUAUAAAUAAGCAAGCUCUGCAGAAUGAACUCGAAAAGCUCAAGGAGUUAUCUUUGAAAAGAAGAGGAAGCAAAGAUGCGCAAAAAUCUGAAAAGAAGACUCUACCAACUCCAACAGAGGAGGACAAUGAGGAUUUGAAGUGCCAGCUCCAGUUUGUCAAAGAGGAAGCAAUGUUAAUGAGGAAGAAAAUGGCGAAGAUUGAUAAAGAAAAAGACAGACUAGAGCAUGAAGUGCAGAAGUACAGAUCAUUUUAUGGAGAUCUUGAUAGCCCUUUACCAAAGGGAGAGGCUAGUGGACCCCCUACGACAAGAGAGGCAGAACUGAAACUUCGACUGCGUUUAGUUGAAGAGGAAGCUAAUAUACUCGGAAGGAAGAUAGUAGAGCUAGAAGUAGAAAACAGAGGCCUGAAAGCUGAGCUGGAUGACCUGAGGGGAGAUGACUUCUCCAGCACAUCAACCUCUCUUCCACGGGAGCAAAGUGAAUCGGUAUCAGAACUGCGACAGCACUUGCAGUUGGUUGAAGAUGAAGCUGAACUUUUACGACGUAACCUUACUGACUUGGAAGAGCAGAACAAACGGAUCACUACAGAGAUGAACAAGUACAAGUUUAAGUCUGGCACUCAUGAAAGUUCUCGGCACAGUGACAACGUCAAGACAGACGCCUUACAGGAGGAGCUUAAAACUGCACGUUUGCAGAUCAAUGAGUUGAGUGGCAAAGUCAUGCAGCUCCAGUAUGAAAACAGAGUUCUUAUGUCUAACAUGCAGCGCUAUGAUCUUGCUUCCCACCUUGGUAUCCGAGGAAGUCCCAGAGAUAGUGAUGCAGAGAGUGAUGCUGGGAAAAAGGAAAGUGAUGAUGAUUCUCGCCCUCCGCACAGAAAACGAGAAGGCCCCAUUGGUGGUGAAAGUGACUCGGAGGAGGUGCGCAAUAUCCGUUGUCUUACUCCCACUAGGUCUUUUUAUCUUUCUACUAGUGUUUGGCAGAAGAAUUUUGCUGAGAGGCAGCAGGUGAAAGAUAUUAGGUCUGAGGCUGAACGACUGGGCAAGACAAUUGACCGGCUUAUCUCAGAUACAAGCACUAUAAUCACUGAAGCUAGAAUAUAUGUGGCCAAUGGUGACUUGUUUGGACUAAUGGAUGAGGAAGAUGAAGGCAGCAGAAUACGAGAACAUGAAUUACUUUAUCGGAUCAAUGCACAGAUGAAGGCUUUCAGGAAAGAACUACAGACAUUCAUUGAUCGGCUAGAGGUCCCAAAGUCAUCUGAAGACAGGAAUGCUGAUGAUCCUCUUUCAGUUAGCCAGUUUUGUUUAAUUUAUCCAUUCAUCAAGAUAAGCCGUAAAAGAAAUAUAGUUUCUACUCUACUUACGAAAAACACUGAAGACUGCUUGUAUAAUAUCCUGAUCCUACAUUUUCCAGCUUCUGCAAUUGGAAAAGUUUCAUAGAGAUUCUGUACAGCAAUCCAUACUGAUGUCUGCAUCCAGCUGCUUAUGGUACUGCACUGAAAAUUGAAAACAUUGAACGGAGUGUUAGGAACCCCCUGGAAAGUAUCUGAAAGAAACCUUGAAAGGAUAAUGCAUGGAGCACCACCCUUGAGUAAACAUUGGUCCACCCCUAAGGUCCACCUCUGAGACUCCCACAUUGGUUUCUCACUACUCCUUCUGUUUACUUGAGGAUCAUCACAGGCAUGUCACCCAUUACAUCUAGGCUCACAUCCAAAGAAUUGAGAUCUCUAAUUGUAGAAUGUGACUUAUAAGAAUUUUUGCCUGCUAAAGUAUAGGUCUAGUUGCCUAAGGAACACAGAUAGGUUGUGUACUAACCUAGAAGACAGCUAAGGCUAGCAUACUACAACACGUAACAAUGUGUUUUUCUGAUAAGCCCCAAAUACCUUUACAUUUAUACUUAUACAAAGUCUGACUUUUUGUUCCCUCAGCCCUACAAAAAGUCCAAUCUUUCAGAGUACGUUAAUACAACACAAAGUUCACUGAGCCUUUAGAGAAUUCCACUUCGAGAAAGUUUGAUGUGAGCUCAAAAAGCACAUCUGUCCCUGAUUCAUUUGCUGGACUCCGCAAAGUAAAAUGUAAUUUCUGUGCCAAUUAAACAAAUUAU
RNA transcript from Rana temporaria (common frog), 2684 nucleotides. It is a transcript of the gene named SOGA family member 3, with no coding region annotated. The transcript has 8 exons. The record is from RefSeq and is a predicted model, not a curated record. NCBI's taxonomy places the organism in Eukaryota, Metazoa, Chordata, Amphibia, Anura, Ranidae.